GCGGUGAAUGUAAAUUACAUUCACGCUGUGGAAAGUUGCCUUCACAGCUCGCUCACGACUUUGGUAUGCGUGUGCGACCCCAAUGUUAUUCGGCAAACUUUCAGAUAAAACUACAAGGUUAAAUUCAUCCAUACAUUGUUUUUCGAUAGCAUGCUUCUGAACUAAGAUAAUAGCAAAUGAAUGCAAAUCUUUGCAAAUGAAUGGUCGCAACCUUGUUGGAGGAUUGCGUCAGUCUUGUCUAAUGCCGUUUUUCUUUUUUAACCUGGGUUGGAACUGGAUUGGCGGAAAAUGUGUAAACAAACAACGUCAAACAAACUUUAGUACAAGCGAAACCGAAGUCGGGUUGGGGUUGAAACUGUGAUCUGAUCCAGUUCCAACCCAGGUUGGAACUGGAUAAUAAAGAAAAACGGCAUAAGAGUCAGAGAUUAGUCCCAAAUCUUUGUGCUUUGGUUCGGACGGGAAGGAGGCAACCCUCAUAACAGUGGUCUGGGAUUGUACCACCUACGAAUUUGUGCGACUCGCUUAAUGCUAAUGCUAAUUCGUGCUGAAAAAAUCAUCAUUUUGCAACUUGUUGCAUAAAUAACUAUUUCACCCACUUCUAUAAAUACGUCGCAACUCGAUUCGAAUUAGUGCAUAUUGAUGCGCAAUGCCAACAAUAACCCGUGAUUAACAACCGGAGAAUCUAGGACUUGCAUUGGAGACUUGGCCCCAUGACCCCCUUGUGCAUCAAUAACAUAAAAUAAAAUAAACAACCGAAGAAUCUAGUAAUUCAACCAAAUGCCAUCAAGAUGACGAGGAAACACGGAUGAGUUGAACAGACAACUGAUUCGAAGCAGUCUAACAAUGGUGUGCCUGAACAUUGACCAAGCGUAUCCUUUGGAGUCUACCCUUCCGCUAACAACACCCAAAUUCCCGUGACACCUAGGCCUGAGAGAUCGUAGAGUUGUCUACAUUACUCAUAGUUGUCCAAAACUAACCAUCCUUUCCCAUCUCUCAACAGUCGCAAGGACGUGGCCAGGACAGUGCUCGACCAUAGUGUAGUGUCCGGAGGGACACUUCCGAGCACACCAUCCGAAUCCCUACACAUAGGAGGAUUGCGUCAGUCUUGUCUAAGAGUCAGAGAUUAGUCCCAAAUCUUUGUGCUUUGGUUCGGAUGGGAAGGAGGCAACCCACAUAACAGCGGUCUAGGACUGUACCACUUACGAAUUUGUGCGACUCGCUUAAUGCUAAUGCUUAUACUAUUUGAUGCGCUAUGCCAACAAUCAGUUCUGGAGCUCGAUUUGAAUAGGUCGUAUGUGCUCUUGUCGAUUAAAAAUUCGAUCACUUGGAUUCGCUCAUUAUAGCGAAAACCGUUGAAAUUGAGCAAAGUUUAUACAUACAGCAGAAUCCUCACAAAACAGGCUUUCUGUUACCGUUGAAAUUGAGCAAAGUUUAUACAUACAGCAGAAUCCUCACAAAACAGGCUUUCUGUUACAUCAUUAAAAGUUUGCAAAAUAUCUACCAUAUUGCUACAAUGGCUAGAAUAAACUGAUCGAAUUUUAUAUCGACAAAAGCACAUACGACCUAUUCAAAUCGAGCUCCAGAGUUGUACUUCACUCUGAAGAAUUUUCACGUCCGAUUUACGUGAAAAGAUAGGUAGUUUUCGUCCACCAUAUUUUUCACGUCACCUUCACCGGAAUGUCAGGUAGCUGGACAAAUUUGAGCUUCGAGAAUCGACGUGAUGAGUCAGGUAAAUUUGACUCGCGUUUUAGGUAUCGUUUGCGUGAAAUGUGGGUGAGUGCCACUGGAAUUUCAGGUAACUUUUACGUGAAAAUAUUAUUAGCGCUACAUGAAUUUCACGUAAUUUAUGUACGAAUUUUGGAUGAAAAUAAAGCAGUCUCGCCAGCUUGCAACGUAUUUGAAGAGGCAAGAGAAUUUGAAUCCUUACAAAAUGCAAUAAAUAUUCAUAGAUUUUACCCUACCGUAGAAUAAAUCUAUGAUUGCAUUUUAUAGGGAUUUGAAAUCUUACUUCCUCAAAUACGCUACAAGCAGGUGCUAAUAUGUAACAAUUACAGAAAAAUCUUUAUCAGUCAUUUAUUUUACAGUAUGUACUUAAUAAAUUUGCACUUACGUUUCUACAUACGUUUCGGAUCCUCUGAUCCUUUAAAAGUGCAGAGUUCCAAAUAAAUCCAAGGAUGAUAAAGCAAAAUCUGUGAAGUCCAACCAUUUUUAACACUCGUUGAACUUCUCUGUUGGACCUCCGCUACCGUCACGAGAAUUAUGACGCAUUCCAGCU
Molecule: long non-coding RNA, 2275 nt
Organism: Aedes albopictus (Asian tiger mosquito)
Lineage: Eukaryota; Metazoa; Arthropoda; Insecta; Diptera; Culicidae
Exons: 4
Source: RefSeq, a predicted model, not a curated record